This 450-nucleotide ribosomal RNA is filed under the name uncultured bacterium. RNAcentral describes it as "partial 16S ribosomal RNA". It matches the Rfam family "Bacterial small subunit ribosomal RNA", at positions 354 to 796 of the family's 1533-position model. The record is from RNAcentral.
GUGGGGAAUAUUGGACAAUGGGCGAAAGCCUGAUCCAGCCAUGCCGCGUGUGUGAAGAAGGUCUUCGGAUUGUAAAGCACUUUAAGUUGGGAGGAAGGGCAGUAAGUUAAUACCUUGCUGUUUUGACGUUACCGACAGAAUAAGCACCGGCUAACUUCGUGCCAGCAGCCGCGGUAAUACGAAGGGUGCAAGCGUUAAUCGGAAUUACUGGGCGUAAAGCGCGCGUAGGUGGUUUUGUAAGUUGGAGGUGAAAUCCCCAGGCUCAACCUGGGAACUGCCUCCAAAACUGCAUGACUAGAGUACGGUAGAGGGUAGUGGAAUUUCCUGUGUAGCGGUGAAAUGCGUAGAUAUAGGAAGGAACACCAGUGGCGAAGGCGACUACCUGGUCUGAUACUGACACUGAGGUGCGAAAGCGUGGGGAGCAAACAGGAUUAGAAACCCCUGUAGUCC